RNAcentral lists this ribosomal RNA (475 nucleotides) under uncultured organism. RNAcentral describes it as "partial 16S ribosomal RNA". It matches the Rfam family "Bacterial small subunit ribosomal RNA", at positions 334 to 800 of the family's 1533-position model. The record is from RNAcentral.
CACUCCUGCGGGAGGCAGCAGUGGGGAAUAUUGCACAAUGGGCGCAAGCCUGAUGCAGCCAUGCCGCGUGUAUGAAGAAGGCCUUCGGGUUGUAAAGUACUUUCAGCGGGGAGGAAGGCGAUAAGGUUAAUAACCUUGUCGAUUGACGUUACCCGCAGAAGAAGCACCGGCUAACUCCGUGCCAGCAGCCGCGGUAAUACGGAGGGUGCAAGCGUUAAUCGGAAUUACUGGGCGUAAAGCGCACGCAGGCGGUCUGUCAAGUCGGAUGUGAAAUCCCCGGGCUCAACCUGGGAACUGCAUUCGAAACUGGCAGGCUAGAGUCUUGUAGAGGGGGGUAGAAUUCCAGGUGUAGCGGUGAAAUGCGUAGAGAUCUGGAGGAAUACCGGUGGCGAAGGCGGCCCCCUGGACAAAGACUGACGCUCAGGUGCGAAAGCGUGGGGAGCAAACAGGAUUAGAAACCCGAGUAGUCCCAUGA